CCUACGGGAGGCAGCAGUGAGGAAUAUUGGUCAAUGGCCGUAAGGCUGAACCAGCCAAGUAGCGUGAGGGAAGACUGCCCUAUGGGUUGUAAACCUCUUUUAUGCGGGGAUAAAGGUGUCCACGUGUGGAUGUUUGCAGGUACCGCAUGAAUAAGGACCGGCUAAUUCCAUGCCAGCAGCCGCGGUAAUACGGAAGGUCCGGGCGUUAUCGGGAUUUAUUGGGUUUAAAGGGUGCGUAGGCGGGUGAUCAAGUCAGCGGUAAAAUCGUGGAGCUAAACUCCAUCCAGCCGUUGAAACUGAUGAUCUGGAGUGGGCGAGAAGUAUGCGGAAUGCGUGGUGUAGCGGUGAAAUGCAUAGAUAUCACGCAGAACUCCGAUUGCGAAGGCAGCAUACCGGCGCCCGACUGACGCUGAAGCACGAAAGCGUGGGUAUCGAACAGGAUUAGAUACCCUAGUAGUC
RNAcentral lists this ribosomal RNA (459 nucleotides) under uncultured bacterium. RNAcentral's name for it is "partial 16S ribosomal RNA". It matches the Rfam family "Bacterial small subunit ribosomal RNA", at positions 338 to 795 of the family's 1533-position model. The record is from RNAcentral.